AGUAAUGCUUGGGGAUCUGCCCAGUCGAGGGGGAUAACAGUUGGAAACGACUGCUAAUACCGCAUACGCCCUACGGGGGAAAGCAGGGGACUUUUUAAGCCUUGCGCGAUUGGAUGAACCCAAGUGGGAUUAGCUAGUAGGUAAGGUAAAGGCUUACCUAGGCGACGAUCCCUAGCUGGUCUGAGAGGAUGAUCAGCCACACUGGAAACUGAGACACGGUCCAGACUCCUACGGGAGGCAGCAGUGGGGAAUAUUGCACAAUGGGGGAAACCCUGAUGCAGCCAUGCCGCGUGUGUGAAGAAGGCCUUCGGGUUGUAAAGCACUUUCAGCGAGGAGGAAAGGGUGAUGGUUAAUACCCAUCAUCUGUGACGUUACUCGCAGAAGAAGCACCGGCUAACUUCGUGCCAGCGGCCGCGGUAAUACGAGGGGUGCAAGCGUUAAUCGGAAUUACUGGGCGUA
This 459-nucleotide ribosomal RNA is filed under the name uncultured bacterium. Its description in RNAcentral is "bacterial SSU rRNA". It matches the Rfam family "Bacterial small subunit ribosomal RNA", at positions 109 to 562 of the family's 1533-position model. The record is from RNAcentral.